GGGGAUCAUGAAGAAUCAGAUGCUACUUUUCAGUGUUUUUCAAGAACACAGAGGCUGAAGAUGAGAUAACUUGAAGUGAAGUGAUUUCUCAGCACCCCACAACUAACCACUGUCUGAGGCUGGAUUGGAAUUCAGGAUUUCCUGACUCCUGACUUACACUUCGAGUGGCCCCGAUACAAGACAUGGUCUCCCAACUCCAGCCAGAAUUAUCUCCCUCCUCAUCUUCGCUUCCAGGAGUCCGCCCAAUCCUGCUCGCCACAAGGAGCUGUCACCAGCCCCCUCCCUCCGCGUCCCUUCCCUCUGUUGUCUGUCCGUAGCCGUUUUCAUGUUGCUUCUCCAGGACUUCCCUACCAUCAGUCACCGAGUUCUUUGCGCAAAUCCUUUGCCAUCUUUCGCC
Molecule: long non-coding RNA, 397 nt
Filed under: Sarcophilus harrisii (Tasmanian devil)
Lineage: Eukaryota; Metazoa; Chordata; Mammalia; Dasyuromorphia; Dasyuridae
Description: lncRNA (ENSSHAG00000020570.1)
Source: RNAcentral